UGUCCUUAGAAGCAAGACAAGCAAAUAGCAAAACUGAAGUUGUGGAGAUGACAAAAAAAUCAUCACGAUCGAGAGAGAAUUGAAGUCCUAGUUUUGAAUCAAACGUGUAUAGCAUGCAAAGCUGCAUUUUUUUCGUGUCUCUUCACAACUGUCAACUUCUGCUUCUUUCUCUCCAUCUGAUCACCGCUCUAACUUCACUCCUCUCUCUCUGUCUCUCUCAUGUUAAUAUCUCUCAACCUCCGUUUACACUGAGAGUAGAGUCUACACAUUUAUCUUCUAACUGAAUAAAGCUCAAAAUCACCGAAAAGGGACAUGUCGACAAAUGUUUGCUUAGGAAAUUGAGAGGUGGACCUGAAAGAGAGAGACUUUGCAGUGGAUCGCGUGUAUAUGAAAGAAAUCUAUGGCUCAGCGUAUAUGUAGCAGUACUGGUAAUCUGAAGACGUAGGAGAAGCUGUUACAUAGGACUCUUAUAAAAAAAAAAAGUUAUGACAUAGGACCGGCUUAAUCGGCUAGCUAUAUGCCGGUCCUCUCACAAAACUUGAGCCGACCCAUUUGUGCGAUACAGAGUCGCUUACGUAGCAGUACCACUGUAGCAGCUUUGCCAGUUGGUUGCAGUACCGUUAUACAGAUUUUACAGAACUGUUGAUCACAUGUAAGCAAGCUCAAAACUUCCCCUUUAGCAGGCUUUUCUUUUAUUUUUGGCCUAUUACCAAUGAAAACUCUAAACUUAAUCACAAUUUUUAAUUUCGAUAAUAAAAUAAUGGAAUAAUCGAAACGUACAA
Molecule: long non-coding RNA, 782 nt
Organism: Hevea brasiliensis (rubber tree)
Lineage: Eukaryota; Viridiplantae; Streptophyta; Magnoliopsida; Malpighiales; Euphorbiaceae
Exons: 2
Source: RefSeq, a predicted model, not a curated record